AUUGAACGCUGGCGGCAGGCUUAACACAUGCAAGUCGAACGGUAACAUAAAGAAGCUUGCUUCUUUGAUGACGAGUGGCGGACGGGUGAGUAAUGCUUGGGAAUCUAGCUUAUGGAGGGGGAUAACUACGGGAAACUGUAGCUAAUACCGCGUAGAAUCGAGAGAUGAAAGUGUGGGACCUUCGGGCCACAUGCCAUAGGAUGAGCCCAAGUGGGAUUAGGUAGUUGGUGAGGUAAAGGCUCACCAAGCCGACGAUCUCUAGCUGGUCUGAGAGGAUGACCAGCCACACUGGGACUGAGACACGGCCCAGACUCCUACGGGAGGCAGCAGUGGGGAAUAUUGCGCAAUGGGGGCAACCCUGACGCAGCCAUGCCGCGUGAAUGAAGAAGGCCUUCGGGUUGUAAAGUUCUUUCGGUAGCGAGGAAGGCAUUUAGUUUAAUAAACUAGGUGAUUGACGUUAACUACAGAAGAAGCACCGGCUAACUCCGUGCCAGCAGCCGCGGUAAUACGGAGGGUGCGAGCGUUAAUCGGAAUAACUGGGCGUAAAGGGCACGCAGGCGGUGACUUAAGUGAGGUGUGAAAGCCCCGGGCUUAACCUGGGAAUUGCAUUUCAUACUGGGUCGCUAGAGUACUUUAGGGAGGGGUAGAAUUCCACGCGUAGCGGUGAAAUGCGUAGAGAUGUGGAGGAAUACCGAAGGCGAAGGCAGCCCCUUGGGAAUGUACUGACGCUCAUGUGCGAAAGCGUGGGGAGCAAACAGG
This 759-nucleotide ribosomal RNA is filed under the name Parahaemophilus parainfluenzae. RNAcentral's name for it is "Haemophilus parainfluenzae bacterial SSU rRNA". It matches the Rfam family "Bacterial small subunit ribosomal RNA", at positions 28 to 776 of the family's 1533-position model. The record is from RNAcentral. Lineage: Bacteria; Pseudomonadati; Pseudomonadota; Gammaproteobacteria; Pasteurellales; Pasteurellaceae.